UGUUCUGUGGCUUAGUUGGUUAAAACACCGGUCUAGCGAAUAAGGGGUUGUGGGUUCGAAUCCAACCAGAACGA
Molecule: non-coding RNA, 74 nt
Organism: Aedes albopictus (Asian tiger mosquito)
Lineage: Eukaryota; Metazoa; Arthropoda; Insecta; Diptera; Culicidae
Source: Rfam